CAGCAGUAGCCACGGUAAAACGUAGGGUGCAAGCGUUGUCCGGAAUUAUUGGGCGUAAAGAGCUCGUAGGCGGUUUGUCGCGUCUGCUGUGAAAUCUGGGGGCUCAACCCCCAGCCUGCAGUGGGUACGGGCAGACUAGAGUGCGGUAGGGGAGAUUGGAAUUCCUGGUGUAGCGGUGGAAUGCGCAGAUAUCAGGAGGAACACCGAUGGCGAAGGCAGAUCUCUGGGCCGUAACUGACGCUGAGGAGCGAAAGCAUGGGGAGCGAACAGGAUUAGAUACCCCCGUAGUCCCUGUCUCUUAUAU
This 304-nucleotide ribosomal RNA is filed under the name uncultured bacterium. Its description in RNAcentral is "partial 16S ribosomal RNA". It matches the Rfam family "Bacterial small subunit ribosomal RNA", at positions 506 to 809 of the family's 1533-position model. The record is from RNAcentral.